RNAcentral lists this ribosomal RNA (301 nucleotides) under uncultured bacterium. RNAcentral's name for it is "partial 16S ribosomal RNA". It matches the Rfam family "Bacterial small subunit ribosomal RNA", at positions 509 to 807 of the family's 1533-position model. The record is from RNAcentral.
CAGCCGCCACGGGAAUACGUAGGGUGCGAGCGUUAAUCGGAAUUACUGGGCGUAAAGCGGGCGCAGACGGUUACUUAAGCAGGAUGUGAAAUCCCCGGGCUCAAUCUGGGAAUUGCGUUCUGAACUGGGUGGCUAGAGUGUGUCAGAGGGGGGUAGAAUUCCACGUGUAGCAGUGAAAUGCGUAGAGAUGUGGAGGAAUACCGAUGGCGAAGGCAGCCCCCUGGGAUAGCACUGACGUUCAUGCCCGAAAGCGUGGGUAGCAAACAGGAUUAGAUACCCCCGUAGUCCCUGUCUCUUAUAC